UUCGUCCCCCGGGGCUUCUCGCUGCUGGGGAGUCCUGACUGUACUAAAAAAAGAAAGAGAGAAGGAGAUUGUGCCGGAGAGAAAAAACAGUGCUGGAGAAACCGUUUCCAAAGAUCUAUUUAACAUGUAAACGGAGGAAGAUUAAUAUCUCUGGAACAGUCCCCAAACGUCUUGCCAAGGGCACAGGUUUUCAGCUUUAAAGGCCAUUUCAAUUUAAGAAAACAAAAGAUGAUCCUGUGAACACUGUAUCAGGCAUCAUUACUGGACUGAAAAAAGGAUCACUUGAUGGACAUGCCUGGCGUUUUGUUUAGAAGUAUUUCUUCUCUGGCCUUAGAAGAUUAGUUUU
RNAcentral lists this long non-coding RNA (346 nucleotides) under Homo sapiens (human). RNAcentral describes it as "non-protein coding LINC01571:4". Lineage: Eukaryota; Metazoa; Chordata; Mammalia; Primates; Hominidae. The record is from RNAcentral.